CCUACGGGAGGCAGCAGUAGGGAAUCUUCCACAAUGGGCGAAAGCCUGAUGGAGCAACGCCGCGUGGGUGAAGAAGGUCUUCGGAGCGUAAAACCCUGUUGGUAGAGAAGAAAGUGCGUGAGAGUAACUGUUCACGUGUCGACGGUAUCGAAAAAGAAAGCCACGGCUAACGACGUGCCAGCAGCCGCGGUAAUACGUAGGUGGCAAGCGUUCUCCGGAUUGAUUGGGCGGAACGGGAACGGAGGCGGUCUUUUCAGUCUGAUGGGAACGCCUUCGGCUUAACCGGAGUAGGGCCUUGGAAACUGGCAGACUUGCUUGCAGAAGAGGCGAGUGGCCCUCCCUGUGUAGCGG
RNAcentral lists this ribosomal RNA (351 nucleotides) under uncultured bacterium. RNAcentral's name for it is "partial 16S ribosomal RNA". It matches the Rfam family "Bacterial small subunit ribosomal RNA", at positions 338 to 681 of the family's 1533-position model. The record is from RNAcentral.